RNAcentral lists this long non-coding RNA (211 nucleotides) under Phoenix dactylifera (date palm). RNAcentral's name for it is "long non-coding RNA (PDAC_LNC002947)". Lineage: Eukaryota; Viridiplantae; Streptophyta; Magnoliopsida; Arecales; Arecaceae. The record is from RNAcentral.
GAGAUAAAAGAGGAUAUCCAUUAAAAACAAUAAGUUCAUACAACCCCAAGAAUAGAAAUAAAAAAAUACAAAACCCUUAUCCUUUUGCUAGGGCUGCAUCCAACCCUAGUGCAGAGCUCAGCCUUCCAUGGAGAAUUGAACAGCUGUAGCAGUGGAGAAUGCUUCCAUCGCGACCAGCUCUUCUUUCUUUCUUCCUCCGGCGACUCCCAUC